Long non-coding RNA from Manis pentadactyla (Chinese pangolin), 812 nucleotides. RefSeq lists it as uncharacterized. Lineage: Eukaryota; Metazoa; Chordata; Mammalia; Pholidota; Manidae. The transcript has 3 exons. The record is from RefSeq and is a predicted model, not a curated record.
AGCUUUUUACAUGUGUUAAUAAGAGCUUGGGCUUUGAAGUCAGAUCUGAAUUUAAUUCUCUCUUCCUUUCAUCAGGUAUUGACCUUGGAAAACCUGUGCAACCUCUUCAAGCCUUGGUUUCCUCAUUUGGAAUACAGAAAUAGUGAUAGUACCUAUGUCAUAGGAUGGCUGUAUGGAUUGCGAUAAUCCAAAUGAAUUUAUAUCUGGCUUGCAGUAAAGUCAGCAAAGAAAACAUGGUAUUUUGAAGUAUGAUUAAACUCCUGAUGCUGCAGCAGAGGCUAUGAAUAUUAAUGGCCAGAUCUAGAGUGGUAACACAUGAUGAAUCUCAAAGACGUCAGGUGGAAUGAGAUGAGCCACACAUGAAGAAAACAUGCUCUCUGGUUCCAUUUUUAUGAGGCUCAGAAUAGGAAAAACUAAUGGUAAAUCAGAUCCAAAUAGUAGCUACCUUUGGAGAACUGUCGAUUGGAAGGAGGCUAAGUGAACCUUCUGGGUUGCUGGAUAUAUUCUCUACGUUGGUCCCCUUGUUGAUUACAUAGAAACAUGUAAGAAUUCCUUCAGCUGUACACUUAAAAUUUGCAAACUUUACUAAAUGUAAGUUAUACAGCAAUGAAAAUUCAAACAGCAGCAGCAUAAAUGGCCACUCAGAUGUCAUGAUUUACAAAGGGAGAAGUUGCUAAGGAGAAAAAAGGAUGUGUAGAAUAUAAUUCCAAGAAACAAGGCAGUGGAGGCUUCACUCACCAAGGAUUUCUGAUUAUAAAUAUGUAGUUGUUCCUGCAGUUAUAGGGGUCAAAGGCAGGCUGCCCCAAGAUGCA